RNAcentral lists this transfer RNA (68 nucleotides) under Omanosaura cyanura. Its description in RNAcentral is "tRNA-His". It matches the Rfam family "tRNA". From Rfam's summary of the family: Transfer RNA (tRNA) molecules are approximately 80 nucleotides in length. Their secondary structure includes four short double-helical elements and three loops (D, anti-codon, and T loops). Further hydrogen bonds mediate the characteristic L-shaped molecular structure. tRNAs have two regions of fundamental functional importance: the anti-codon, which is responsible for specific mRNA codon recognition, and the 3' end, to which the tRNAs corresponding amino acid is attached (by aminoacyl-tRNA synthetases). tRNAs cope with the degeneracy of the genetic code in two manners: having more than one tRNA (with a specific anti-codon) for a particular amino acid; and 'wobble' base-pairing, i.e. permitting non-standard base-pairing at the 3rd anti-codon position. Lineage: Eukaryota; Metazoa; Chordata; Lepidosauria; Squamata; Lacertidae. The record is from RNAcentral.
GUAAAUAUAGUUUAACUAAAACCCUAGAUUGUGAAUCUAAAGACAGAAGUUUUAUCUUCUUAUUUACC